GUGCCAGCAGCCGCGGUAAGACAGAGGUCCCGAGCGUUGUUCGGAUUCAUUGGGCGUAAAGGGUGUGUAGGAGGCUAGGUAAGUCAGGUGUGAAAUCUCACAGCUUAACUGUGAAACUGCGCUUGAUACUGCUUGGCUAGAGGAUCGGAGGGGGUAUCGGAAUUUAUGGUGUAGCAGUGAAAUGCGUAGAUAUCAUAAGGAACACCGGUGGCGAAGGCGGAUACCUGGAAGAUUCCUGACUCUGAAACACGAAAGCCAGGGGAGCAAACGGGAUUAGAAACCCCGGUAGUCC
RNAcentral lists this ribosomal RNA (292 nucleotides) under uncultured bacterium. Its description in RNAcentral is "partial 16S ribosomal RNA". It matches the Rfam family "Bacterial small subunit ribosomal RNA", at positions 505 to 796 of the family's 1533-position model. The record is from RNAcentral.